This 506-nucleotide ribosomal RNA is filed under the name uncultured bacterium. RNAcentral describes it as "partial 16S ribosomal RNA". It matches the Rfam family "Bacterial small subunit ribosomal RNA", at positions 30 to 523 of the family's 1533-position model. The record is from RNAcentral.
AUUGAACGCUGGCGGCAGGCCUAACACAUGCAAGUCGAACGGUAACAGGAAGAAGCUUGCUUCUUUGCUGACGAGUGGCGGACGGGUGAGUAAUGUCUGGGAAACUGCCUGAUGGAGGGGGAUAACUACUGGAAACGGUAGCUAAUACUGCAUAACGUCGCAAGACCAAAGAGGGGGACCUUCGGGCCUCUUGCCAUCGGAUGUGCCCAGAUGGGGUUAGCUUGUUGGUGGGGUAACGGCUCACCAAGGCGACGAUCCCUAGCUGGUCUGAGAGGAUGACCAGCCACACUGGAACUGAGACACGGUCCAGACUCCUACGGGAGGCAGCAGUGGGGAAUAUUGCACAAUGGGCGCAAGCCUGAUGCAGCCAUGCCGCGUGUAUGAAGAAGGCCUUCGGGUUGUAAAGUACUUUCAGCGGGGAGGAAGGGAGUAAAGUUAAUACCUUUACUCAUUGACGUUACCCGCAGAAGAAGCACCGGCUAACUCCGUGCCAGCAGCCGCGGUAA